GUAGGUGGCAAGCGUUGUCCGGAAUUAUUGGGCGUAAAGCGCGCGCAGGCGGUUCUUUAAGUCUGAUGUGAAAGCCCACGGCUCAACCGUGGAGGGUCAUUGGAAACUGGAGAACUUGAGUACAGAAGAGGAAAGCGGAAUUCCACGUGUAGCGGUGAAAUGCGUAGAGAUGUGGAGGAACACCAGUGGCGAAGGCGGCCUUCUGGUCUGUAACUGACGCUGAGGCGCGAAAGCGUGGGGAGCAAACAGGACUAGAUACCCUGGUAGUCCACGCCGUGAACGAUGAGUGCUAAGUGUUAGGGGGUUUCCGCCCCUUAGUGCUGCAGCUAACGCAUUAAGCACUCCGCCUGGGAGUACGGCCGCAAGGCUG
RNAcentral lists this ribosomal RNA (370 nucleotides) under uncultured organism. RNAcentral's name for it is "partial 16S ribosomal RNA". It matches the Rfam family "Bacterial small subunit ribosomal RNA", at positions 527 to 896 of the family's 1533-position model. The record is from RNAcentral.